UACAGAGGUCUCAAGCGUUGUUCGGAUUCAUUGGGCGUAAAGGGUGCGUAGGUGGCGCGGUAAGUCGGGUGUGAAAUCUCGGAGCUUAACUUCGAAACUGCAUUCGAUACUGCCGUGCUUGAGGACUGGAGAGGAGACUGGAAUUUACGGUGUAGCGGUGAAAUGCGUAGAUAUCGUAAGGAAGACCAGUGGCGAAGGCGGGUCUCUGGACAGUUCCUGACGCUGAGGCACGAAGGUCAGGGGAGCAAACGGG
RNAcentral lists this ribosomal RNA (253 nucleotides) under uncultured bacterium. Its description in RNAcentral is "partial 16S ribosomal RNA". It matches the Rfam family "Bacterial small subunit ribosomal RNA", at positions 524 to 776 of the family's 1533-position model. The record is from RNAcentral.